GCGCGAGUGGCGGAAUUGGUAGACGCGCAGGAUUUAGGUUCCUGUUCCACUGGAGUGAGGGUUCAAGUCCCUUCUCGCGCA
RNAcentral lists this transfer RNA (81 nucleotides) under Clostridioides difficile. RNAcentral's name for it is "tRNA-Leu". It matches the Rfam family "tRNA". From Rfam's summary of the family: Transfer RNA (tRNA) molecules are approximately 80 nucleotides in length. Lineage: Bacteria; Bacillati; Bacillota; Clostridia; Peptostreptococcales; Peptostreptococcaceae. RNAcentral also lists the same sequence under 6 other names. The record is from RNAcentral.